GCGCUGGGCCAGUGCAGGCCGAGCCCUGCGUCCCUGCCUCGCUGGGUGGGGGUCCGGGGCGCGGCUGUCCACAGGGCCGCCUCCUCCUGCGGCCCGCGGGGAAGGGGCGCAUCCCACCCCGCUCUGCAGGCCGCCCUUCUGCCAGCUGGGAGGCGAGGGCACACGUCCUAAGCCUGCCCAAGGGGGGAGAGGAAUCGCGCCGGUAGGAGAGCGCACGGGAACCAGGAACGCAAGGCGGGCACAGGGGAGCCGAAGGAGCCAGACAGGGCCCGGCCACGCGCCCUCCUCGCUCGGCUGCGCUCCGUGACGGGAACCCAGGCUCCCACGCACGGGGAAUGCCUAGAACGGAGCUAGAAUGGAGGAAAACCAGUUUGGCUAUUAAGGGAACCUGUCGACACAGAGCAGAGCAAGAUAAGGCCAGGUUUCAGAAAGAAUAGCUGUUUACCAUCAAAGCAACUGG
RNAcentral lists this non-coding RNA (460 nucleotides) under Pan troglodytes (chimpanzee). Lineage: Eukaryota; Metazoa; Chordata; Mammalia; Primates; Hominidae. The record is from RNAcentral.